UACAGAGGUCCCAAGCGUUGUUCGGAUUCACUGGGCGUAAAGGGCGCGUAGGCGGUCCUGUAAGUGGUGUGUGAAAUCCGAUGGCUCAACCAUCGAGCUGCGCUCCAAACUGCAGGACUUGAGUACAGCAGAGGAAAGUGGAAUUCCCGGUGUAGCGGUGAAAUUCGUAGAUAUCGGGAGGAACACCGUUGGCGAAGGCGACUUUCUGGGCUGCUACUGACGCUGAAGCGCGAAAGUCAGGGGAGCGAACAGG
This 253-nucleotide ribosomal RNA is filed under the name uncultured bacterium. RNAcentral's name for it is "partial 16S ribosomal RNA". It matches the Rfam family "Bacterial small subunit ribosomal RNA", at positions 524 to 776 of the family's 1533-position model. The record is from RNAcentral.